This 163-nucleotide ribosomal RNA is filed under the name uncultured bacterium. RNAcentral describes it as "partial 16S rRNA". It matches the Rfam family "Bacterial small subunit ribosomal RNA", at positions 355 to 510 of the family's 1533-position model. The record is from RNAcentral.
UAGGGAAUCUUCCACAAUGGACGCAAGUCUGAUGGAGCAACGCCGCGUGAGUGAAGAAGGUCUUCGGAUCGUAAAACUCUGUUGUUAGAGAAGAACACGAGUGAGAGUAACUGUUCAUUCGAUGACGGUAUCUAACCAGCAAGUCACGGCUAACUACGUGCCG